ACGGGAGGCAGCAGUGGGGAAUAUUGCACAAUGGGGGAAACCCUGAUGCAGCGACGCCGCGUGAGCGAUGAAGUAUUUCGGUAUGUAAAGCUCUAUCAGCAGGGAAGAUAAUGACGGUACCUGCAGAAGAAGUCACGGCUAACUACGUGCCAGCAGCCGCGGUAAUACGUAGGUGGCGAGCGUUAUCCGGAAUUACUGGGUGUAAAGGGUGUGUAGGCGGAGAAGCAAGUCAGGCGUGAAAUUUAUGGGCUCAACCCAUAAACUGCGCUUGAAACUGUUUCCCUUGAGAGUGGGAGAGGUAAACGGAAUUCCUGGUGUAGUAGUGAAAUGCGUAGAUAUCAGGAGGAACACCGGUGGCGAAGGCGGUUUACUGGACCACAACUGACGCUGAGACACGAAAGCGUGGGGAGCAAACAGGAUUAGAUACCCUGGUA
Molecule: ribosomal RNA, 434 nt
Filed under: uncultured Clostridium sp.
Lineage: Bacteria; Bacillati; Bacillota; Clostridia; Eubacteriales; Clostridiaceae
Description: partial 16S ribosomal RNA
Rfam family: Bacterial small subunit ribosomal RNA
Source: RNAcentral